RNAcentral lists this ribosomal RNA (515 nucleotides) under uncultured bacterium. RNAcentral describes it as "partial 16S ribosomal RNA". It matches the Rfam family "Bacterial small subunit ribosomal RNA", at positions 28 to 523 of the family's 1533-position model. The record is from RNAcentral.
GAUGAACGCUGGCGGCGUGCCUAAUACAUGCAAGUCGAGCGAAUGGAUUAAGAGCUUGCUCUUAUGAAGUUAGCGGCGGACGGGUGAGUAACACGUGGGUAACUUGCCCAUAAGACUGGGAUAACUCCGGGAAACCGGGGCUAAUACCGGAUAACAUUUUGAACCGCAUGGUUCGAAAUUGAAAGGCGGCUUCGGCUGUCACUUAUGGAUGGACCCGCGUCGCAUUAGCUAGUUGGUGAGGUAACGGCUCACCAAGGCAACGAUGCGUAGCCGACCUGGGAGGGUGAUCGGCCACACUGGGACUGAGACACGGCCCAGACUCUUACGGGAGGCAGCAGUAGGGAAUCUUCCGCAAUGGACGAAAGUCUGACGGAGCAACGCCGCGUGAGUGAUGAAGGCUUUCGGGUCGUAAAACUCUGUUGUUAGGGAAGAACAAGUGCUAGUUGAAUAAGCUGGCACCUUGACGGUACCUAACCGGAAAGCCACGGCUAACUACGUGCCAGCCGCCGCGGUAA